CAGCCGCCGCGGUAAUACGUAGGGUGCAAGCGUUAAUCGGAAUUACUGGGCGUAAAGCGUGCGCAGGCGGUUUGUUAAGACAGAUGUGAAAUCCCCGGGCUCAACCUGGGAACUGCAUUUGUGACUGUAUAGCUAGAGUACGGUAGAGGGGGAUGGAAUUCCGCGUGUAGCAGUGAAAUGCGUAGAUAUGCGGAGGAACACCGAUGGCGAAGGCAAUCCCCUGGACCUGUACUGACGCUCAUGCACGAAAGCGUGGGGAGCAAACAGGAUUAGAUACCCCUGUAGUCCCUGUCUCUUAUAC
This 301-nucleotide ribosomal RNA is filed under the name uncultured bacterium. Its description in RNAcentral is "partial 16S ribosomal RNA". It matches the Rfam family "Bacterial small subunit ribosomal RNA", at positions 509 to 807 of the family's 1533-position model. The record is from RNAcentral.